CGCGGCCUAUCAGCUUGUUGGUGAGGUAGUGGCUCACCAAGGCGACGACGGGUAGCCGGCCUGAGAGGGCGAUCGGCCACACUGGGACUGAGACACGGCCCAGACUCCUACGGGAGGCAGCAGUGGGGAAUAUUGCACAAUGGGCGAAAGCCUGAUGCAGCGACGCCGCGUGAGGGACUAAGGCCUUCGGGUUGUAAACCUCUUUCAGUAGGGAAGAAGCGAAAGUGACGGUACCUACAGAAGAAGCACCGGCUAACUACGUGCCAGCAGCCGCGGUAAUACGUAGGGUGCGAGCGUUGUCCGGAAUUAUUGGGCGUAAAGAGCUUGUAGGCGGUUUGUCGCGUCUGCUGUGAAAAUCCGGGGCUCAACCCCGGACUUGCAGUGGGUACGGGCAGACUAGAGUGUGGUAGGGGAGACUGGAAUUCCUGGUGUAGCGGUGAAAUGCGCAGAUAUCAGGAGGAACACCGAUGGCGAAGGCAGGUCUCUGGGCCACUACUGACGCUGAGAAGCGAAAGCGUGGGGAGCGAACAGGAUUAGAUACCCUGGUAGUCCACGCCGUAAACGUUGGGAACUAGGUGUGGGUCUCAUUCCACGAGAUCCGUGCCGCAGCUAACGCAUUAAGUUCCCCGCCUGGGGAGUACGG
This 643-nucleotide ribosomal RNA is filed under the name uncultured bacterium. RNAcentral describes it as "bacterial SSU rRNA". It matches the Rfam family "Bacterial small subunit ribosomal RNA", at positions 232 to 885 of the family's 1533-position model. The record is from RNAcentral.